AGAUUAAGUUAUUAAGGGCGCACGGUGGAUGCCUUGGCACUAGAAGCCGAUGAAGGACGUUACUAACGACGAUAUGCUUUGGGGAGCUGUAAGUAAGCUUUGAUCCAGAGAUUUCCGAAUGGGGAAACCCAGCAUGAGUUAUGUCAUGUUAUCGAUAUGUGAAUACAUAGCAUAUCAGAAGGCACACCCGGAGAACUGAAACAUCUUAGUACCCGGAGGAAGAGAAAGAAAAUUCGAUUCCCUUAGUAGCGGCGAGCGAAACGGGAAGAGCCCAAACCAACAAGCUUGCUUGUUGGGGUUGUAGGACACUCUAUACGGAGUUACAAAGGACGACAUUAGACGAAUCAUCUGGAAAGAUGAAUCAAAGAAGGUAAUAAUCCUGUAGUCGAAAAUGUUGUCUCUCUUGAGUGGAUCCUGAGUACGACGGAGCACGUGAAAUUCCGUCGGAAUCUGGGAGGACCAUCUCCUAAGGCUAAAUACUCUCUAGUGACCGAUAGUGAACCAGUACCGUGAGGGAAAGGUGAAAAGCACCCCGGAAGGGGAGUGAAAUAGAACCUGAAACCGUGUGCUUACAAGUAGUCAGAGCCCGUUAAUGGGUGAUGGCGUGCCUUUUGUAGAAUGAACCGGCGAGUUACGAUUUGAUGCAAGGUUAAGCAGUAAAUGUGGAGCCGUAGCGAAAGCGAGUCUGAAUAGGGCGUUUAGUAUUUGGUCGUAGACCCGAAACCAGGUGAUCUACCCUUGGUCAGGUUGAAGUUCAGGUAACACUGAAUGGAGGACCGAACCGACUUACGUUGAAAAGUGAGCGGAUGAACUGAGGGUAGCGGAGAAAUUCCAAUCGAACCUGGAGAUAGCUGGUUCUCUCCGAAAUAGCUUUAGGGCUAGCCUCAAGUGAUGAUUAUUGGAGGUAGAGCACUGUUUGGACGAGGGGCCCCUCUCGGGUUACCGAAUUCAGACAAACUCCGAAUGCCAAUUAAUUUAACUUGGGAGUCAGAACAUGGGUGAUAAGGUCCGUGUUCGAAAGGGAAACAGCCCAGACCACCAGCUAAGGUCCCAAAAUAUAUGUUAAGUGGAAAAGGAUGUGGCGUUGCCCAGACAACUAGGAUGUUGGCUUAGAAGCAGCCAUCAUUUAAAGAGUGCGUAAUAGCUCACUAGUCGAGUGACACUGCGCCGAAAAUGUACCGGGGCUAAACAUAUUACCGAAGCUGUGGAUUGUCCUUUGGACAAUGGUAGGAGAGCGUUCUAAGGGCGUUGAAGCAUGAUCGUAAGGACAUGUGGAGCGCUUAGAAGUGAGAAUGCCGGUGUGAGUAGCGAAAGACGGGUGAGAAUCCCGUCCACCGAUUGACUAAGGUUUCCAGAGGAAGGCUCGUCCGCU
RNAcentral lists this ribosomal RNA (1372 nucleotides) under Staphylococcus aureus MUF168. Its description in RNAcentral is "bacterial LSU rRNA". It matches the Rfam family "Bacterial large subunit ribosomal RNA", at positions 1 to 1374 of the family's 2925-position model. The record is from RNAcentral. Lineage: Bacteria; Bacillati; Bacillota; Bacilli; Caryophanales; Staphylococcaceae.